This 1449-nucleotide ribosomal RNA is filed under the name Klebsiella oxytoca. RNAcentral's name for it is "bacterial SSU rRNA". It matches the Rfam family "Bacterial small subunit ribosomal RNA". The record is from RNAcentral. Lineage: Bacteria; Pseudomonadati; Pseudomonadota; Gammaproteobacteria; Enterobacterales; Enterobacteriaceae.
UAACACAUGCAAGUCGAACGGUAGCACAGAGAGCUUGCUCUCGGGUGACGAGUGGCGGACGGGUGAGUAAUGUCUGGGAAACUGCCUGAUGGAGGGGGAUAACUACUGGAAACGGUAGCUAAUACCGCAUAACGUCGCAAGACCAAAGAGGGGGACCUUCGGGCCUCUUGCCAUCAGAUGUGCCCAGAUGGGAUUAGCUAGUAGGUGGGGUAACGGCUCACCUAGGCGACGAUCCCUAGCUGGUCUGAGAGGAUGACCAGCCACACUGGAACUGAGACACGGUCCAGACUCCUACGGGAGGCAGCAGUGGGGAAUAUUGCACAAUGGGCGCAAGCCUGAUGCAGCCAUGCCGCGUGUAUGAAGAAGGCCUUCGGGUUGUAAAGUACUUUCAGCGGGGAGGAAGGCGAUAAGGUUAAUAACCUUGUCGAUUGACGUUACCCGCAGAAGAAGCACCGGCUAACUCCGUGCCAGCAGCCGCGGUAAUACGGAGGGUGCAAGCGUUAAUCGGAAUUACUGGGCGUAAAGCGCACGCAGGCGGUCUGUCAAGUCGGAUGUGAAAUCCCCGGGCUCAACCUGGGAACUGCAUUCGAAACUGGCAGGCUGGAGUCUUGUAGAGGGGGGUAGAAUUCCAGGUGUAGCGGUGAAAUGCGUAAAGAUCUGGAGGAAUACCGGUGGCGAAGGCGGCCCCCUGGACAAAGUCUGACGCUUAAGUGCGAAAGNGUGGGGAGCAAACAGGAUUAGAUACCCUGGUAGUCCACGCUGUAAACGAUGUCGACUUGGAGGUUGUUCCCUUGAGGAGUGGCUUCCGGAGCUAACGCGUUAAGUCGACCGCCUGGGGAGUACGGCCGCAAGGUUAAAACUCAAAUGAAUUGACGGGGGCCCGCACAAGCGGUGGAGCAUGUGGUUUAAUUCGAUGCAACGCGAAGAACCUUACCUACUCUUGACAUCCAGAGAACUUAGCAGAGAUGCUUUGGUGCCUUCGGGAACUCUGAGACAGGUGCUGCAUGGCUGUCGUCAGCUCGUGUUGUGAAAUGUUGGGUUAAGUCCCGCAACGAGCGCAACCCUUAUCCUUUGUUGCCAGCGAUUCGGUCGGGAACUCAAAGGAGACUGCCAGUGAUAAACUGGAGGAAGGUGGGGAUGACGUCAAGUCAUCAUGGCCCUUACGAGUAGGGCUACACACGUGCUACAAUGGCAUAUACAAAGAGAAGCGACCUCGCGAGAGCAAGCGGACCUCAUAAAGUAUGUCGUAGUCCGGAUUGGAGUCUGCAACUCGACUCCAUGAAGUCGGAAUCGCUAGUAAUCGUGGAUCAGAAUGCCACGGUGAAUACGUUCCCGGGCCUUGUACACACCGCCCGUCACACCAUGGGAGUGGGUUGCAAAAGAAGUAGGUAGCUUAACCUUCGGGAGGGCGCUUACCACUUUGUGAUUCAUGACUGGGGUGAAGUCGUA